This 248-nucleotide ribosomal RNA is filed under the name uncultured Lachnospiraceae bacterium. RNAcentral describes it as "partial 16S ribosomal RNA". It matches the Rfam family "Bacterial small subunit ribosomal RNA", at positions 524 to 770 of the family's 1533-position model. The record is from RNAcentral. Lineage: Bacteria; Bacillati; Bacillota; Clostridia; Lachnospirales; Lachnospiraceae.
UACGUAGGGGGCAAGCGUUAUCCGGAAUUACUGGGUGUAAAGGGAGCGUAGGCGGCAAGGUAAGUAAGAUGUGAAAGCCCGCAGCUUAACUGCGAGGAUUGCAUUUUAAACUAUCGAGCUAGAGUACAGGAGAGGUAAGCGGAAUUCCUAGUGUAGCGGUGAAAUGCGUAGAUAUUAGGAAGAACACCAGUGGCGAAGGCGGCUUACUGGACUGAAACUGACGCUGAGGCUCGAAAGCGUGGGGAGCG